Long non-coding RNA from Falco peregrinus (peregrine falcon), 10773 nucleotides. RefSeq lists it as uncharacterized. The transcript is spliced from 3 exons. Lineage: Eukaryota; Metazoa; Chordata; Aves; Falconiformes; Falconidae. The record is from RefSeq and is a predicted model, not a curated record.
GAAGCAGCACAACAGACCAUCAAAACAGGCAAAAUCAAUGUAGAUCUUAAGUCACACCCUACAGAUCAUCAUUCACUCAGGACUGAAUUCUGUACUUCGGCCUGUAUGUAAUAAAAGCUUUGGUGCAAAGCGGUGGUGGACUGAGGCCUGUGUUAAAGUGAAUUUCUGAAUCGAGGUCUCGGAGAUCAGCUGGCCACGUCUGUCCCCCUGCUGCUAACUUGGAGGGUCAGUUUGGUCUGUUACCCGGAAAUACAGCCCAACGAACCUAGCACACCGCAAGGCAAAUUAAUUUUAAGUGGGUUUCUUUGGUUUUGGUUUUGGUUUUUGGUUUAUGCACCCAUAGUAGCUGGCUGAAUGCUGGGUGGCUGGAGAAAGCUAAACCCAAACAAAUACUGUCAUUAAAAGAAAUACCAGCACGCUUUGGAAGCGGCGCUGUGCCAGUCCUCCCGAGCGACUUCAGCCAUGCGCUACGAGAGAAACGGGAUCGCUUGGACAGGUGAGCCCCAGCAUGGCACCAACGUCCUCUUCAUCGCAAGCAAUAAUGGUCCCCAAACAGCAGGGAGACGUGCUAGAGACGGCAGAUCUAUGGAGGAAUGCAGCAGCUGCCUGAACUCUCAGCUCAGAGGCUCCCUGCACUAGACCAUGAGUUGAAGAUUUGGAAAAGAUCCAUUACUUUUGUAUUGGCAGAGUUUUGCUCACCCUCAUGGAAAAGUCCUGUGUGACCUAAUGAGGCACAAACAUGGCUGGGCCGUAUGCAGUAUCAGUCUGGUCAGAUGAAGGCAGAAAAUCGCAUCGUUCCACCCACUUGCAAAUUUAAGACUUGCUGUUUCCGAGCUCAUUUUCACCCUCCCUCCCAGCUAGGCCUGUAAAGUGGUUUUGCCCCAACAUGCCCCAGUGACCAGCCCCAAGCAGCACAAGCCCAAGGACUACUGGGCACCAGUCCCUGCACCAGAAUGGAGCACAACUGCUUUGGAGGAAGCGCUACGCUGCAGGGACCCGUGCCGCUUCAGCGCUAUUCUGCUUAUACAAAAGGCAACUCGUUACUUUCUUUAGGAAAGCUUGUAGGACUUUUCCAUAGGGUUCGUUUAAAAUUCACCAGUCUGGUUUCAGCCAAAAGUGGCUGCACGCAAUGCAGAAAAGGCUGAUUUUGCUCAAUCCAAACUGGUAGCAAUGGAUGGACUGGCAAGGCUACACUUUCAGGUUCCAGAUGUGUAACUCCCACAUACAAGAGUCACAGCUCCCGUGCAGGAAGAGGUUGAGGGGAUGCUGCCCUUACAGCUUUCCCACGGGAAGGGGAAGCUUCAGCAAGCUGGGACCUACGCAACCUGUUGUAAAGGCCGGUGUAGAAAGGGUGGCUCUGGGUGAGUGGCAGUGGAGCAGAAGGGAUGCAUGUCACCACCAAAGUGUAGGCUACAGGGAAGAGCAAUGUGGCUACUUCUGUAUUUCCUUCCCCGCCACAUCACGGGUGAGGGAUAACCCUCCUUCAGCCUCAGGGCAGCGUGAUCGGCUGGAAACCACAACUCCAGAGAAGGGCAGGAAGGAGAGAGGAGCGGGGCUCUGAAGCAGGUUGCUGUAAGCUCUGGCCAUCUCUGGAUCCCCUCUGCUGCAUGCAGAACUGCUCUUCCUUCUGCGGGGAGGGCAGCCCCGGCCGUGUGACGGGUGGCAGGCUUCGCAAAGGCCAUCUGGAGGCCAUUGCCUCCCCUGGUUUUAACCGCAGAGGCGAGGUGACUCUACCCAAGCAGAUCAGUGUCCUCAUCUGGAAAGCGGGAUGGCAUCACCCACCUACCUCACACGAGGGUUGUGAAGCUAAAUUAAUUAAUGUUUGUAAAACACUUUGAGAUCCUCGGCUGGGAAGGUGCUAGAGAAGGCAAAAUACGGUGAUUAGCACCCAGGUACCACAGCAACGUGUGUAAAAGAAAUGUGACUCUUUGCAUUCAGUUAGCGGUUCCUACCCACACACAAACACAUGCUUUGCGGGUCCAGCGCUGGCUGGCCCGGGCACAGGAAGGCUGCACACAGUCGGGUACUUACAGACAAGGGAAAAAGCCUCACACAGUGCACUCACGGAGCUCAUCAGACAACUUCUAUAUGUUGCUGCAUUACAAUUCAGGACCUCUUUUAGAUACAAAGCUAGAGCGUUAGGGAAGAGAAUCAAUUCACUUCCCCUUGCUAUAGAAUGUAGCAGUCAAGGGCUGUUAACAAUCCUCAAAAAGUUCAGACCAAAUGGAGGUAUCACCUUGACUAUGUCCAACCGAUUUCUCCUUCUUUACAGCUCUCUGUCCACUGUAGGGAGUUACCAAGAUCCUUCCUUACGGUGGACAAAAACUGCUCCGUGAUUCAUACUUCAAUAAAUGCAUCACAGUUGAUAUUUCAAACUUAUUUGAAAGGAACAACCUGGAGAUGUUCUGCAUUUGUACCUGCACGCCGGAACAGAGUUACUCAGCAACAAGUUCCCUCCUCUGUCUUUCCCCGGUCCCCUCCCACAGAAGGCCUGCAGAGCUGUCCUGGGGUCACACCGGAGACAACUUCUGUACCAUCCUUGCUGGCGGGCCCAGCCACUGAUUUGAAUUUACCAUGCUACAUGGCUUACGCCAAUGACAUCCCAUAAGGACGGGGCUCAGGACGGGCUUGAGCUCAUCCCUGCCCUGCCUCUUCAUCCCUUCUACCACUGCCCUGCUCCCAAGUUGCCUUGCUGAAGGCAGGUCCGUGUGUGGGUGGUGUAACCAACUGCAGAGUCUGCUCUGGAGAGCAAACGCUAGCCCUGAACCCAUACAAGGGGUACACAUCCUGCUGGAGGCCACCAGCCUUUAGUGCCUUGGCCACUUUUCCCAGCAGAGACUGGUGAGGAAUUUUAGGACCUGUGGGAAGGUUAGGAUCUGGUACAGGUCCCUUGCAUGGCUAGAGUUAGGAAAUAUAUCUUCUUCUGUCUGGUAAGCGGUUUGGAUCUUCAACUGACCCAAAAGACCAGCAAUGACUUACAAGGCAAGUAGUCCUUGUGCUGCCAAGAUCACUGACAAUGUUACAACACCAAAGAGCUGUGGAUCUAAAGCUGCUACUAAGGGAUGUAGAGCAAUUGUUUCUAGCUUUGGAGGACCUCAAAACCACCUGGCUUUGAUGACUUUGAUGACUUGGCAAAAUGUCUUUUGCAUCCUGUGGCUACAGAGUAGCAGUCAGCCUUGUGAUGCAGCCCUGCCUUGCUGAGCUGGGCUGAGCUCUUUAUUGCCUCUAAGCCAAUUUGUGGAGGGUGAACUAAUGUAUUUUAACGUUGAUACAGAAAUGCUAAGAAAUCUCCUGGAUCAGCAAAAUGUUAUGCACUUGGAAGGACAGUCUGGCUGAAGUCCACUGACACUGAUGGAGUUACACUGCAAAGAACGUAAUCCAUAGUCUGUCUUCUCCGAAAGAGAAAAAGGCAGACUCCCCUGGCCAGAUCGCUAGCAAACCCCAUUCAGUUCCUUCCCAAAAUAGCCUUUUCGGCCCAAGCUCCUGAAACGUGUCUGUCCUUGCCUGAAGCAUACCCAUGCACACACUGCCACUUCCCUCAGUAAAGAAGCUCAGACCCACAUCCUCAGAGCUGUGUAUGGGGCCGUGCUUGCACCUAGGCUGUUGGCAUUAACAUCUAAGCUGGAUGUACGUCAAAAGCUCCUGGCUGGUUCUACUUGAAUAAGCAGCUGAGGGUUUGCAUAUUUAUCAUAUUUAUCAAAUGGCCUCCGUGGCCUAAAUGUUCAGCGCUGCAGAUCUCAAUGGCAUGCAUAAUUACCGUGUGUCUGUGGGCAUGCAAAUAAAAACAUUUGUGCUCUGGCAAGGCAGGCUGGUAAUCCCAUAAGAAUACAUUUUCUUGUGAAACUGUGAUACAGCACUUUGCAACAGCUUAAGGUGCCCCAAGAAUGGCUCGCUUUGUGGGGGGAUGGACGGACAGGGAUGGACAUGCCCACGUUCUUGACAGAGUGGGACACAGGGAUUGGGGGGGGGUUGUGGGGGAGCAGUAUUCACCUAGGCUGCUCAUCUUCAAAUCCUGAGAAAGAGCAAUUCUGGGAAAAAGUACGGCAGGUUGGUAUUUUUCUAUUCUGAAGUGGUUUGUUCCCUCACCAGAACUUGGGACCAUUGUGCAAAAUUGUCUCUUGGGGGAUUUUUUUUUAUAUGCAAAGCCAUAACUCCACUGCAAUUCAACAGAAAGAAAUGAGCAAAGCUCUUUUCCAAUGCAAUUUUGGGCUGCUUGGCGAACAGAAUUCAAAGCGCAACGGGAAAGAAUCGAUAAGUACAGAUUUCUAGACACAGCUGCUGCGCUGCCUGUCCAAGGCGUAAGAAAGCAGCUACACACCAAUGACCAGACUUGGAGCUCCUUCUGCUGGUUCAUGCAUAAUUCUGCACUGUAACAGAACAUAAAGGCUGCAGCUGCACAGCAAGAUUGUUCAGCAGGGUGGGGUUGUGGAAAUCUGUUCAGAAUGAGAAAAAGAAAACCCCAGGGUUUAUAAUUUGGCUAGACAAAACUGGUAAAGAGAGAUGCUGCGCAGUCAGUUGAAACCAUGUCUUUUUUUAGUACCAGGCAACGUCACUUGGAAUCUUUCGAAUUUCUCAGCUCACAAGAAAACAAAAAGAUUUUAAACCGUCUCUUUGUCCCCUUCUUUUUGUCAAAGUGCCUCUUCUAUUUGAGCUUACAACACGACCUCAGCAGCACCUGGAGAUUUAGGAGCAUGCUGUUAACUUACAGGCAAUCCACAUGGACACGUGCAGACAGACACGGUUAGAAUACAGCAGGACAGCUACAUGAACACCGCACCUCUCCAGAGUGAGUACGAACGCACACAGAAUACACGCAGCUUUGCCUAUAUAUAACCAUGGAAGCUUGCCUUACGAGCUGUUUAUUCCAUCCUCCGCCUUUAAGGUUUUAGCUUUGAUCAGGAGCUAUUUCAUAGCUACCUAGCUCUCUAGGUAUCAUGCUGUUAGUGAGCCAGAGUUGAGUGGGAGACAAUAAAAUAUCAACACCUACUUUCUCUACUGGCCGAGUGGAGGCUGCUGGUAGGAGAGGGAGCAGCGCUGUGCUAAGGAACCUUCCAUCUCCCUGCUCUCAACAGCAGCGGAGCCAACUUGCAUCUUCCAGGAGCCAUGCUCAAAAACCCCAUAAAUUCAGUUUCCUCCUGAGUAUUUUGUAACCCGUACACAACAUGGGGUAGCCAGGAACAUACCUCAGGAACACUAAUUGUUGUACGGUUAAUUACUCCUGCAAUAGCAACAAGUUUAAGUUAAAGAAAUAAGCAGUAAUGGCUGAAUGGGUACGACUCUUUGCCCUUCUUCAGCACAUUUCAACAGAGGAUCUCAAAGCACUUCACUAUUCACUUGCUUGCUGCCACAGUUGGAGUUGGUGAACUACGCCGUGCCUGCUGCUCAUUCUGCCCCGACUGCAGGCCUAGUUGUUACGGCGAGAGCUGUGGGUGGCAGCUGUGCAAAGGGGAUGCCUGCCUCCGAAGGCAGCCCUCAGCAGCUGCCGGCGUCACGGGGUUACACUUCCACGCUGAACUGCCCGACUCAAAUUUUGUCAUACUCGCCCAGCUCAAGAGGAAUUUAAGUGGUGCAUUAGCCACGGCUCUUUACACAGCCAGGGAUUUUACUCAGCAGCCUGGCAGAGGUAGAUAUUACCAGGGAUGGUACCGGUGAGGAGAACAUGACUUGGCUCCCUUUCCUAACCACUAGCCUAACUGCCCUGGUUUGGAGGAGGAGGGAGGGAAAAGAGCUAACUGCAGCUUGAGAAACGCAGCAGAGGAAGAGUCAUCUGGUGUCCUGGCUGUUCCACAGCCAACCACAGCAUCUACAAAUACUGAGGUAACCCGACCUUGCCGAAUGUAUUUAUCAAGUCUGUUGCCGCAACCUGAUGCCAUUAGACUAGACAUUAAGAUAAUGAUUCCUCCUGCGAUAAGCAAAAGCUAAGUGAGGUAAGAUGGAAUAAAUGAUGCUAGGGCCUUAUCAAUCAAAGCCAGGUGAAACCUAAUUUAUCCCAUCUUGUACUUAUAUAGUCCCCAUCUCCUCCAGCACUCUGUAAACUGAUAGCAAAGAUCACUCUGUCUGUUUCAUUGAUAGGAAGAGAUAGUUCAUCCAUCCCUGCCCUAAAGUGCAGCCUCUUCUGGGUAGCAACACUGCCCCUUACCUAAAACACCCCACCAAACCGACCCCCCUUGGCUCUUCAAACGAGGGCCAACGGAAAACCCAAGAGGCCUGUUUUGCAUCUCACCAAAACGCCCCUGGAGAAGCACGUGCCCAGGGCCGAGUCACCGGUACCAUCCUUAGCAGCCUCCCAGCCAGGAAUUAAUUCAGGCUUUGCCUCAGUUUGCACAUCUGACCAGCUCUCAGGUGAUACUGGCCGACUCCAGCUGGGUCACCAGUGCCUUGCAGGAGAAGCCGUCUCUCUGCACUGCCACCAGACCAGUGCUGCGGACCCCAAGCAUGAAGCGCUCGGGUGAGCUGCAGGCAGGCGCUGCGUAACGCCUGCCUGUCGGAGGCUUUGGGUAGGGUCUGGUUUUUACAAGCAAUGGGAUAAGCUCUGCGAUUUCUCUGAACCUGUGGGGAAAUACUACCGAGAACACGAUUAGCUCCGUUCUUUCACCUACACUGUGGGAAGCUCUGUGAAAAAAGGGAAGUGACCUUGACUAUCUGAAAAUGCAAAUGCCCUGCUUUGUUUUAAAGUGAUUAGUCUAUGUGUUGCUCAGUGUCUUUCAGUCCCCCCGAGGCUAUGCCUACAUGUGUGAAUAGGAUGGGAAAACCUGUCAGGGCCACGUCAAUCUUGUUAGCGAGGAAGAUGCAAUAAAAUAGGCUUAAACAUUCAGGAGAGCCACAGGAGGUACCUACAGGCUCCGUUACCUGUAAGACCCGGGCGAAGGCAGCGCAGGCACACUAACGCGCAGUCACCUCCCUGGCCGUGCAGCCUGGCUGGGGCAGCGCACAAGUGUGAGAAGUCAGAAAAAAGCUGUUGGGUGUUUGGGUCGGGGUUUUUAUGGCAUAGUUCGCUGUGAGCUCAAGUGAUCAGAAAGGAAGAAAUUAGCAGGAAAAUUCAGUGAUUCAGAGGGUGUUUUACUGCGGGCCAGAGCGGUUCAUGCUGGCAGAUGAUUUAACCCCCGCUGGGUUUGCAUAGCUGAGUAUUUACGGGCGGAUUUCACGACAGCAUCCUUCUAAUCUCAGGGCUAGGGGCGAUGGUGAUUGAAUAUACAUUUCUCUCCUUCCGCAAGUCCCAGACCAGCAGGCUAAAGGCCCGCCAGGGCAGAGGGUAUCUGCUUCGGUGAAGCCGUGGCACAGUGCAGAUGAGAAUACACAGGACAGGCAUGAGGGAGCUGGCUCACAGCCUGGGUCUGACAAGCUAUCCUGGGGUGGGAAACCCUCCCACCUAGCACUAAGGUGACUUCAAAUUUGAAUAGAUGUUUCAUUUUCCAAAAUGAAACGAUCAGGGGAAAUGGUGCUUUAAGAACGGGGUCUCCUUCCCAGGCACUGCAGCUCUAAUCCCUGACAGCUCCGGCUUCCAGGAACAUGAGCAAAAAUCCCUUACGUGUGCACGCUGUCCUGCACGGGGACAUAUGUGCACACAGCUGGGGAUCAGAAAAGUAACCAAAUGUUUCUGAAAGCUGCAAACACUAAUCGUUGAGGGGGAGAUUAAAAGUGGCCAGCAGAACAAAAGCACUGAUGGAUAGGGGCAGUGAAGGAGGCUUAGAAAUGGAGAAUGUACCCUGAUAAUCCUGGGUCUACGUUAAGGAUGGACUGGAGAUCCACAAGGGAUCCAGUUUCAAGGGAACUUUAGCCUUGGUUCCACUGCUUUAGUCAAUAAAGAGCACAACUCUGCAAGCACAAUUUGAUGCUCUCUUAAAGCGGCAGUGUCAGUGCAGCAGCGAAGGGCUCAGUGUACCUGGGCUUCUCUGCAGGAAAGGCGCACGCUUGCCUGCAGCUUCACCAGGGCUGUGGGGUUUUUUGUUGUUUUUGUAAGUCAAGACAAAUACUUUUCUCUGUUUCUUUACUAUUUCUAGGAGACACCACACUGAAUUCUGUUCCCAGUUACCACACUGACAUUGAAAAAAGCUAACGGGCAGUAACCAAGAGGCAAAAUCUUAAACAGUCAAUGCAAAAAGAAAACAACGACAACAAACAGCCCUUUUCCCUGUCUGUAGGUAAGGUGCAGAGCCAACACUACCCAUUUACUUUCUGUCUAAUGGACUUAAAGAACGCCAAAAAUUGUUUUAAUGCUGUCUUAAAGGCACCUGACCUAAUAUCAUUAUGUUUUGCCCAAUCUAAUAAGUAGUGGAAAACCUGGUAUAUUGCUGAAAUCUGACCUCGCACAUCAUUAAAUCGAUUUGGAAGGAAGCCUGGCACCGCACACACAUUUCUGUGCAGGCAUGAGUGUUAGGAGGGGGUCACUUCCAGAGGGGGCUGACGUGUGCCCCACACAGGACCCUCACCGGGGAGCACAAACCUCUCAAAACACCAAGAGUUGCUUUCUCUCCUAAUCACCUGCAUUAAGUGCAUUAGGUUAGAAAGCAGAGUUUUAAGGUUUCUUCUCCUGCUGUCAGCUGAUCUCUCGGCACCCCUCCCUCCCUCAACGCACAGCACUGGAGUGUAAACGCUUCCUUUUCAAAUGCACACCCGCCAGCUCCAGAGCAAUGCUUCUGGGAGGUGUGGUACCACAGUGCAUGAAAUAAGCUGCAGUUUAUACUAUUUGAAAAAUGUUUUUCUGCUUCACCUCUAACAAAGUUGAUUGCAUUUUCCGUUUCACCUCCUUCAUGGCUCUUCUCUCUUCCUUAAGUAUUCUGUGACAGGGAAAUUACCAUGGUCUCCCAUUUAAGAGGUGGAGGGAACAACUGAGAUAAUCUAGAAACAAGUCUGUAAUAGGCACCCACUGACACGAGAGCAGGGCUCCCCACACGGUCAGGUCGAGCUGCUGAGCCGUCAAGCCCUGCUGUAGCUGUGGAGACCUGGCCCGCACAGUCUGUAAAUUACAAUGAAUAAAUAGCUCAGCUGAACGGAGCGGAAGCAUUCCUGCUCCUAAAGGGCUUCACUGCUUUUCAGGUAUAACCAAUGCUCCAAAACCAACUUAAAGCCUCUUCCGAUGCUGCUACCGCGUUGUGGGAGGCUGCACGGGGAGGCCAAAGGCAGCGCAUGGUGCCUGCAGGCAGCAACCCCCUGACAUGGGCACAGGCCCGAGGGCUGCACCUCAGCCUCAGCUACACAGCCCCCAGUGCCUGGCAAGGUCUUUGGCAAAAAAAGUUGUUGCUGAUAUAUGCAAGAUGCAUAUGGCAAGAUUCAAAACAUCAGUCACUAAAAGCCAACUCUCAGGAAUUUCCUCCUCCCUCCGUCUUCUGAGCAAUGCCACCAGCUGCCUGCUCCUGCAGCCUCAUGUCUCUCUGUGGGUCUCCGGCACAAGACAAACCACAGAGUAAGAAAACUAAGAGUUUUCAGCAAAAUAUCCGGUUCUGGUACUUAAUUUAAUUCAUCUGAGACUGGGAUACGAUUACCACAAUGCAGGACAAAAGAAAUAGAGCUACUAAUUUAAUGACCCUAUUUGUCAUUUUUCAGAUUUCACAUCUUAAGUAAAACAGCCAGGCUUCACUUCACUUGGUGCUUGGGGUCCGGGUGAGUUUGUCUGACUCAGGGACUUCAUCUCACAAAAAGAACUGCCAGUGUUACAGCAUAAACUUCUUCUUCAUAAAAGAAAUGCUGACUGGUGUUCUAGGAGCUAAUUAAUUGUAUAGCCAGAGAAGUCUAAGGUAAUAGCCCCUCCUUCUUCAUCUCAGAGACAAAGAGAGAGAAAGAGAAAGAGAGAAAACAAGAGAGCAAUUGCUGUGUAAGAAAUAAGUAUGGUUAGGCACAUUAUAUUUGUCAGGAUGCAAUCAGUGAUUUAAGUGGGAAUACUGGCAGGCAUGCUCAGGCACCUUUCAACUGUGUGACUUAAUGACCGAAUAGUGCAAUUAUUAAUUAAUUAUAUAAAGAUAUAAUUAACUGAACAGCAAAUAAUAAUUUAAACUGUUUAUGUCAUGGCCAUCAUGCAAGUCAGAUUCUCUGAUUUUCCAGUUGCCAUCAUCUCUGUGGAUGCUUCCGUGCUGAGGGACAAGCAUGCAAGUGGUGAGGGGCCAAUCCGCAAAACCAAGCUCGUGGCAGCGCCCGCCACUGCCUGAAGUCGCCUACGUUGUGCAAGAUACGCAUCCCUGGGCCCGUUUUGGGGGCUGUGCAUCCUUUAAGCUUAGAAAAUCUGGCCAGGAGAGUUUUUAGAGAACAUCUUAGAAGACAACAUAGGAAGUUAGUAGAGAGGAGAAGACUAAUGACGAUGGAGAGACACAGCAUACCAAGGAGUUUACAGUUGGCCUAGCAAACCACUACCGCACCAGCAAAGCCAGUAGACAACGAACAGGUGAGGCAAAAGCAAAGAGCUCCUUCAACUUUUGCAAAAAAACCAACCCAGUGCCUGUACAGAGUGGGACGAACCUGCCUGGAACUGACCACAGCCAAGACGUGACGAAUUCUCUCAAAACCCAUUUAUAGGCCUAGUUCUGCCAUGGUUCUUUGGUAACGAUUGGGUAUGUCGAUGACUUUGUGAAGCUUUGGAAACCUGGGAAAAUAACCUCUCUGACCUUCCCUCUGUAUUUAGGAUUUCAAAACCUGUAGCUGCAAGUUACUGCGAGUGAGAUUUAAUGCUGGCUGCUUCGCCAGCUGAGGCGCCGUGUAAUACCCAGCAUGGCAUUUACUGGGUGGCUGUAGCCUGCCUGGGUGGGGAAAUGGAUCUGACAUUAAAGAGAUAUAAUGUCUUUA